GANCGAGCGACGCCGCGNUGAAGGAUGAAGGCCCUCGGGUCGUAAACUUCUAAAAGAGGGACGAUAGUGACGGUACCUCUUGAAAAGCACCGGCUAACUCCGUGCCAGCAGCCGCGGUAAUACGGAGGGUGCNAGCGUUAUCCGGAAUCACUGGGCGUAAAGGGCGCGUAGGCGGUCUGUUAAGUCCGAUGUUAAAGACUGGGGCUCAACCCCAGCAUUGCGUUGGAUACUGGCAGGCUUGACGGUUGGAGAGGCGAGUGGAAUUACCAGUGUAGCGGUGAAAUGCGUAGAUACUGGUAGGAACACCCAUUGCGAAGGCAGCUCGCUGGACAACACGUGACGCUGAGGCGCGAAAGUGUGGGGAGCAAACCGGAUUAGAUACCCGGGUAGUCCACACCCUAAACGAUGCACACUUGGUGUUGGCCCGUUGGGGUCAGCGCCGGAGCUAACGCGUUAAGUGUGCCGCCUGGGAAGUACGGCCGCAAGGUUG
This 490-nucleotide ribosomal RNA is filed under the name uncultured bacterium. RNAcentral describes it as "bacterial SSU rRNA". It matches the Rfam family "Bacterial small subunit ribosomal RNA", at positions 385 to 896 of the family's 1533-position model. The record is from RNAcentral.